Molecule: long non-coding RNA, 1176 nt
Filed under: Struthio camelus australis
Lineage: Eukaryota; Metazoa; Chordata; Aves; Struthioniformes; Struthionidae
Description: lncRNA (ENSSCUG00000011069.1)
Source: RNAcentral
CUGGUGAGGGUCUUCUUUUCUUCUCACUUUCUCUCCCCUUCUUCUCUGCAGUUUCCUCAGUUUGUCCCGAACUGAUUUUGAUCCCUCCAUGCUUUUAGGUUAGCAGAAGACCAACCGAGCAGUGCCUGGAAAUGAUGUGCCAUAGGUAAGGAGGGCAGGAUGGGCAGAGACUGCAGUAGGUGAGAGCACAGAAAAGCAGGGAAGCCCGGGAAGCCCAUCACUGAAGAAAGCGAGUGAAAAGGGUUUGCUUUUUUUCCCUUUUCAUCAACACGAAUGUUGACCAGCAAGUGGAGGAAGAGCAAUACGAGGUAGGAGGAAUGGAGCUGCUGCUCCAGGGGUGCAGGUUAAUUAGAGAAUUAAAGGGCAGUGAGGUGUCGUAAGAGUGGAGCUUCAUCAAUACAUAAGUUUUAAUGCUUCUCUCUUUCUCCUACAAUGCCAGACGUUUCCCAGGGUUGCAGUCGCUUGACUGGGAAGUUUGUGUGCCGGUGGAGAUCUAGGGUAUGGCGAAGAGCAGGGACAGACAAAAUGGGGUCCCAGCACUCCUCCUCGCAUGCGUACGGUAAGCUGGGGGCGGACAAGCACCGUUCAGCAGUUCCUGCACAGUGAGGCCAGUGCUCUUUGCUUCUCACCUGCAAUGACGCCACCGGCCAAGCCGCCGUGCUCAGCUGCCGCUUUGCUUUCCUGCGCCCAUAUUGCCUGGCUGCCACUGUAGCCCAGGGUGAAAGCUCUGGCCAAAUAAUAAUCUGUGGCUGCCUCUGCCAAGCAAACUCUGCUCUGCAACUCUGAACAGACGCCAGCACCUCCAGGACACCUGCCUCGUUCUUCUUUCAGUGCUUUGAUUCCUUGUGCUUGCGCUGCCUAUUGGGCUGCUCAAGUUAUACCAAAACACUGCCAGUGCCGACAGUCUGGACUUGCAUGUAAUUCAGAAACAGGUUUGUACGUCCAUCUGCUGACCCAUUUUUUUUCUCCAUCCUCAUAAUUAGCUAGACGGGCCUAGUUUCACUGCAUGUUUAACACAAAAUGUUUUUCAGUCAAGUCUAUUAUUUUCCAGAAAGAGAGCAUGUGUGUGAGCUGACAUGUAGAUGUAAAGGUGUGCAGCAGGGAAAGUUAAUGUCUCUGCACAGAUGGCGAGAAACACCCUACCAUUCAGCCAUGCAGAAGAUAUACUUGAUUACG